GACGAACGCUGGCGGCGUGCUUAACACAUGCAAGUCGAACGGAAAGGCCCUGCUUUUGUGGGGUGCUCGAUUGGCGAACGGGUGAGUAACACGUGAGUAACCUGCCCUUGACUUUGGGAUAACUUCAGGAAACUGGGGCUAAUACCGGAUAGGAGCUCCUGCUGCAUGGUGGGGGUUGGAAAGUUUCGGCGGUUGGGGAUGGACUCGCGGCUUAUCAGCUUGUUGGUGGGGUAGUGGCUUACCAAGGCUUUGACGGGUAGCCGGCCUGAGAGGGUGACCGGCCACAUUGGGACUGAGAGACGGCCCAGACUCCUACGGGAGGCAGCAGUGGGGAAUAUUGCACAAUGGGCGGAAGCCGGAUGCAGCAACGCCGCGUGCGGGAUGACGGCCUUCGGGUUGUAAACCGCUUGCGCCUGUGACGAAGCGUGAGUGACGGUAAUGGGUAAAGAAGCACCGGCUAAAUACGUG
RNAcentral lists this ribosomal RNA (468 nucleotides) under uncultured bacterium. RNAcentral's name for it is "partial 16S ribosomal RNA". It matches the Rfam family "Bacterial small subunit ribosomal RNA", at positions 28 to 507 of the family's 1533-position model. The record is from RNAcentral.